RNAcentral lists this ribosomal RNA (364 nucleotides) under uncultured bacterium. RNAcentral describes it as "bacterial SSU rRNA". It matches the Rfam family "Bacterial small subunit ribosomal RNA", at positions 29 to 425 of the family's 1533-position model. The record is from RNAcentral.
AACGAACGCUGGCGGCAGGCUUAACACAUGCAAGUUGAACGGCCUAGCAAUAGGCAGUAGCGCACGGGUGCGUAACGCGUGGGAACAUGCCCUUGGGUACGGAACAACGUCGGGAAACUGACGCUAAUACCGUAUAAUAUCUCCGGAUCAAAGAUUUAUCGCCCAAGGAUUGGCCCGCGUAAGAUUAGCUAGUUGGUGAGGUAAUGGCUCACCAAGGCUACGAUCUUUAGCGGUCUGAGAGGAUGAUCAGCCACACUGGGACUGAGACACGGCCCAGACUCCUACGGGAGGCAGCAGUGAGGAGUAUUGGACAAUGGGGAACCCUGAUCCAGCAUGCCGCGUGAGUGAUGAAGGCCUUCGGUUG